GCCCUGACUCCAUCUUCUCCUUGCUGAAUCCUGACUUCACCUUUCUGUAUUUGCAGUCCUACUGUGACUUGAAGAAAGAGUGAGAUGCUCUCCACCUGCACUUGGAAGACAACAGGAACAAUGAUGAGGACCACAAGUGUCGCCAGUCCCAACUGAAGAGGAAGUGUCAGGUCCUUGUGAUAGAGAAAGCAGCCUUGAAGCUCCAGAUGAAGAAGCUUGAGACAUCCAGGUUCCUGCCACAACAAGUGCACGCUUUGAGGGAGAAGCAGGACCUGCAUCAGGUCCAGGAGCCAGACACCUGCUUGGCUG
This is a long non-coding RNA of Cynocephalus volans (Philippine flying lemur), 309 nucleotides long. RefSeq lists it as uncharacterized. The record is from RefSeq and is a predicted model, not a curated record. The transcript is spliced from 3 exons. Lineage: Eukaryota; Metazoa; Chordata; Mammalia; Dermoptera; Cynocephalidae.